This 144-nucleotide ribosomal RNA is filed under the name uncultured Aeromonas sp. RNAcentral's name for it is "partial 16S ribosomal RNA". The record is from RNAcentral. Lineage: Bacteria; Pseudomonadati; Pseudomonadota; Gammaproteobacteria; Aeromonadales; Aeromonadaceae.
GCUUCUUCUGCGAGUAACGUGACAGCUGGCAGUUAUUAGCUACCAACCUUUCCUCCUCGCUGAAAGUGCUUUACAACCCGAAGGCCUUCUUCACACACGCGGCAUGGCUGCAUCAGGGUUUCCCCCAUUGGGCAAUAUUCCCCA